GGUCGCUUGGCGCAAUGGUAGCGCGUGUCUCUCCUAUGAGCACCAAGACAAGGUUGCGGGUUCGAGUCCCGUGGUGACCU
This 80-nucleotide transfer RNA is filed under the name Ascodesmis nigricans. It matches the Rfam family "tRNA". Rfam says of the family: Transfer RNA (tRNA) molecules are approximately 80 nucleotides in length. Their secondary structure includes four short double-helical elements and three loops (D, anti-codon, and T loops). The record is from Rfam by way of RNAcentral. Lineage: Eukaryota; Fungi; Ascomycota; Pezizomycetes; Pezizales; Ascodesmidaceae.